GCGCAGCAGGCGCGAAACUUCGCAAUGCGCGAAAGCGCGACGAGGGAUUCCAAGUGCAUGCACUAAGUGUAUGCUUUUCGUGAGUUUAAAACGCUCACGGAAUAAGGGCUGGGUAAGACUGGUGCCAGCCGCCGCGGUAAUACCAGCGGCCCUAGUGGUGAUCGUUAUUAUUGGGCCUAAAGCGUCCGUAGCCGGUCCGGUAAAUCUCUGGGUAAAUCGUUGGGCUUAACUCAGCGAAUUCUGGGGAGACUGCUGGACUUGGGACCGGGAGAGGUCGGAGGUACUCCAGGGGUAGGGGUGAAAUCCUGUAAUCCUUGGGGGACCACCGGUGGCGAAGGCGUCCGACCAGAACGGGUCCGACGGUAAGGGACGAAGCCCU
Molecule: ribosomal RNA, 379 nt
Filed under: uncultured microorganism
Description: bacterial SSU rRNA
Rfam family: Archaeal small subunit ribosomal RNA
Source: RNAcentral